RNAcentral lists this transfer RNA (72 nucleotides) under Ictidomys tridecemlineatus (thirteen-lined ground squirrel). RNAcentral describes it as "Spermophilus tridecemlineatus (thirteen-lined ground squirrel) tRNA". It matches the Rfam family "tRNA". From Rfam's summary of the family: Transfer RNA (tRNA) molecules are approximately 80 nucleotides in length. Lineage: Eukaryota; Metazoa; Chordata; Mammalia; Rodentia; Sciuridae. The record is from Rfam by way of RNAcentral.
GUGGCUGUGGCUCAGUGGUAGAGCGCUUGCCUAGCACAUGCAAGACCCUGGGUUUGAUCCUCAGCACCCCCU